GAAAUUUCUUUUUGAGAUUGUAACAUGCAAGGACAAUGAAAUUCAGCUGCCGUUAGUAACUUCUUUCCUGCAGAGACAUGGUCUCAUUAAUACUGUCACCUUCAAGGGAAGUGCACUGCAAGAUUCAACUCAAAGGAAUACUUCCAUGGGAAAAAUGUUUCCUUACCGAUAGAGCUAUCUUUUUUUUCUCUUGCUGAUCUAGUGAUAGUUUCUUCCAAGACCUUCAACUGUAAACAAUGUCCGAAAACAGCUGAAACAGUUAUGAAAACGAGCAGUAAGACAUGUACAUUUUGUUUUGUCUUU
This is a long non-coding RNA of Triticum aestivum (bread wheat), 303 nucleotides long. RefSeq lists it as uncharacterized. The record is from RefSeq and is a predicted model, not a curated record. NCBI's taxonomy places the organism in Eukaryota, Viridiplantae, Streptophyta, Magnoliopsida, Poales, Poaceae. The transcript has 2 exons.